CUUAUUUCAAGAGUCUUUGAGCCUUGAGGUUUUACUUGUUGGGAGUUAGAGUUGCUGCGUAUGAGUCUGUAUUUACGGAAUUGUGUGUUUUUGAUUGUUGUUUUAAACGCUUUAUAAAUAGAAAAUGUCUAGAUUUCGUGAAUGGGAUCUGUCGUGCAAAGUGUAUGUUGGAAAUUUAGGCCCCAGUGCAUCCAAGCAUGAUCUGGAAAGGGCAUUCAGUAAAUAUGGCCCCCUUAGAAAUGUGUGGGUAGCUCGAAGCCCUCCAGGCUUUGCAUUCAUAGAGUUUGAAGAUCCUAGAGAUGCAAAGGAUGCUGUUCGAGCACUUGAUGGAAUGAGGCUGUGUGGAACUCGAGUUAGGGUUGAAAUGUCUACGGGACGCACAAGGAGAGAUGAAGGCCGCAGACAUUCAAGGAUAUAUUCUCCCUUCAGUCUACCAUCUCUGGCUCAAGUCAGUCUGCUCUUCAUGUUUUUGCUACCGACAUGACCCGGGACAACCUGAGAACUUCCCACUUGAAACAAACUACGCAUCUGGCGCCCCAGACAUCUUAGGCCCACAAAUUUGCAUCCAGCGGUUUCCACAACCCUUCUCUGCCAUCAGACCACCAAUCAACACAGCUACAACCCAUCUGUUGGGCAGCAGAACAUAACAGCCUCCUAAUACCAGCGUACGAGUUUCACAACUUCUCAUGCAACUGCCAUCUCAUGGUGCUGAUACAAGGGCCAGCCUAAUGUGCGGCUUGUAGUAUUCAGCAUACAACUGAUAAUAGGUGAUAAAAGCAAAGGACUUUUCUCUGCAGCACAAUCACGCUCACCGCCACCAAAGCGGUCACGGUCACGAUCAAGGAGCCAUUCAGUAAAAAGAUCUCGUUCAGGUUCAUGGGAUAGGCAGUAAAAUACUUGGUGAUAAAAUACUGCACCUUAUCAAUAAUAUGCACAAACUAUUGACAAACCAUGUCUGUAGGCAUUGAUGCACUUAAGAUCAGAAACUUCACAUUUCUGUUUAUUCAUCUGAUGUCAUUUUGUAAUAUCUUAUACUUUAUAAUAACUAAUAAAUUUCUAAUAUCUUGUUUA
Schistocerca nitens (vagrant locust) is the source of this 1071-nucleotide RNA transcript. It is a transcript of the gene named RNA-binding protein 1-like, with no coding region annotated. NCBI's taxonomy places the organism in Eukaryota, Metazoa, Arthropoda, Insecta, Orthoptera, Acrididae. The transcript is spliced from 5 exons. The record is from RefSeq and is a predicted model, not a curated record.